RNAcentral lists this long non-coding RNA (696 nucleotides) under Podarcis lilfordi (Lilford's wall lizard). The record is from RNAcentral. Lineage: Eukaryota; Metazoa; Chordata; Lepidosauria; Squamata; Lacertidae.
GCUGAGGUUUGCUCUAAUUCAGCAGUAAAGAGCGGGUUUUCCUGGAGGAAAGGGGUGGGACAAGCAGCAGUCUGGAUGAGUCCCUCUGUCUUGCUCUUUGGUCACUGUGACUGAGCACCAUUUUGGGCCCAUCUGUGUCCAUGGGGAAGGGGAUCAACCCAGAAGUUGUGGAGGAAACGGGAAGAGAAGCUUGUUCAAGAGACUGGCUCAUGUCGGAAGGAGGCCUGAACGCAUCCCAGACGAAGCCCCCCACAGCUGAAAGGCAUUCGGAGACAAAGCAUCAGCAAAGAGCAGAAGAUCAGCUCCUGUUCCAUCAAGAACACAGACGAAUCUCUAGUCUGCAUUCAGGUGAGUUAAGCAUCCCAGGUCUCUUUGGUUUUCCUGUCCAUUACAAACCUGACUAGAGGCUCCAUCAACUCAGCCCCUACACUAUUUGCAUGCAUGAAAGGGGCAGCCUUUUCCUAGAGCCCAACCUUGGGCUGUUCCUGCCACCAUCUUACCUGCAGGAGUUCACUCGCUGGCUGCUGACUCUUCUCCUCCAUCUCCUGGAUGAUCCUCUCAAGAGAGGAGAGUUUCCUGGAGAGUCUGGCCAGCUGCUCAUCCCUUCUCCCUGCAAUCUCCUUCUCCACCUCUUCCACACGAGUCAGCAAACGUUUUUUUUGUUCUUCCAGGAACUGGCGCAGUUCUCUGAACUUC